Molecule: long non-coding RNA, 470 nt
Organism: Octodon degus (degu)
Lineage: Eukaryota; Metazoa; Chordata; Mammalia; Rodentia; Octodontidae
Exons: 3
Source: RefSeq, a predicted model, not a curated record
GGGUAAGCACGUCUUGAAGGGAGGGGUCUGGGCCCUUGGUGCCCGGAAAGAGAAGACGGAAGUGGAGCGAGGACAAAAUGGCUGCAAAGGUGCCACAAACUACCAAGAGCAUCUACCACAUGGUUACAUCCAGAGGGAAGUAACAGGAGUCCACAUUUGUUCAACAAAUAUGAGUGGCACUCUUUUUACCAUGUUAGGUGCUGCUAGGGUUACAAAGAUGAAUGACACAGUCUUUUGUCUAUGAAGAGACUUCAGUCUAAUAAAGCAAAACAGGAAGCUGACUUCCAGAUGAUCUUUGUGUUUUCCUUAGAGCAGCAAGCCGGUUCUGGCUGACACCCCUUCCUACGGCCCAGAUGCACUUCAUGACUGUGGUGGGAAGGUAGUGGGAAGCAGGACACUCAUUACCUGAUGUAAAUGCUUUCUCAAUCUAGUUAACUUUUGGAAUCCUUUAAGCAUGCUUAACAUUUUUU